This 74-nucleotide transfer RNA is filed under the name Actinomycetota bacterium. RNAcentral describes it as "tRNA-Ala". It matches the Rfam family "tRNA". Rfam says of the family: Transfer RNA (tRNA) molecules are approximately 80 nucleotides in length. Their secondary structure includes four short double-helical elements and three loops (D, anti-codon, and T loops). Further hydrogen bonds mediate the characteristic L-shaped molecular structure. tRNAs have two regions of fundamental functional importance: the anti-codon, which is responsible for specific mRNA codon recognition, and the 3' end, to which the tRNAs corresponding amino acid is attached (by aminoacyl-tRNA synthetases). tRNAs cope with the degeneracy of the genetic code in two manners: having more than one tRNA (with a specific anti-codon) for a particular amino acid; and 'wobble' base-pairing, i.e. permitting non-standard base-pairing at the 3rd anti-codon position. Lineage: Bacteria; Bacillati; Actinomycetota. The record is from RNAcentral.
GGGGCUGUAGCUCAGUUGGUAGUAGCGCCACGGUGGCACCGUGGAGGCCGUCGGUUCGAGCCCGACCAGCUCCA